CAGUCGCCGCGGUAAAACGUAGGUCCCGAGCGUUGUCCGGAUUUAUUGGGCGUAAAGCGAGCGCAGGCGGUUAGAUAAGUCUGAAGUUAAAGGCUGUGGCUUAACCAUAGUACGCUUUGGAAACUGUUUAACUUGAGUGCAAGAGGGGAGAGUGGAAUUCCAUGUGUAGCGGUGAAAUGCGUAGAUAUAUGGAGGAACACCGGUGGCGAAAGCGGCUCUCUGGCUUGUAACUGACGCUGAGGCUCGAAAGCGUGGGGAGCAAGCAGGAUUAGAUACCCGUGUAGUCCCUGUCUCUUAUACA
This 301-nucleotide ribosomal RNA is filed under the name uncultured bacterium. RNAcentral describes it as "partial 16S ribosomal RNA". It matches the Rfam family "Bacterial small subunit ribosomal RNA", at positions 509 to 808 of the family's 1533-position model. The record is from RNAcentral.